This 61-nucleotide microRNA precursor is filed under the name Drosophila ananassae. RNAcentral's name for it is "Dan-Novel-2_pre stem-loop". The record is from RNAcentral. Lineage: Eukaryota; Metazoa; Arthropoda; Insecta; Diptera; Drosophilidae.
AGAUUCAACCUGCAAUUUUUCCUUCAAUUCUAAAAAGAUAAAAUUGUAGGUUGUAAUCACU